Molecule: ribosomal RNA, 169 nt
Filed under: Sphingomonas sp. F35
Lineage: Bacteria; Pseudomonadati; Pseudomonadota; Alphaproteobacteria; Sphingomonadales; Sphingomonadaceae
Also listed under: 2 other names
Description: partial 16S ribosomal RNA
Rfam family: Bacterial small subunit ribosomal RNA
Source: RNAcentral
CCUACGGGAGGCAGCAGUGGGGAAUAUUGGACAAUGGGCGAAAGCCUGAUCCAGCAAUGCCGCGUGAGUGAUGAAGGCCUUAGGGUUGUAAAGCUCUUUUACCCGAGAUGAUAAUGACAGUAUCGGGAGAAUAAGCUCCGGCUAACUCCGUGCCAGCAGCCGCGGUAAU